Molecule: ribosomal RNA, 442 nt
Filed under: uncultured organism
Description: bacterial SSU rRNA
Rfam family: Bacterial small subunit ribosomal RNA
Source: RNAcentral
GAUGAACGCUGGCGGCAUGGAUAAGUCAUGCAAGUCGAACGGGUUUUGUAGCAAUACAAAAUCAGUGGCAGACGAGGUAGUAACGCGUAGGAACGUACCCCACAGUCAUGAACAACCUAUCGAAAGAUAGGCUAAUACAUGAUAUGUCUUCGGAUGAAAGGUUUACCGCUGUGGGAGCGGCCUGCGUAGCAUCAGUUAGUUGGUAGGGUAAUGGCCUACCAAGACUAUGACGCUUAGGGGAGCUGAGAGGCUGACCCCCACCGAUGGGACUGAGACACGGCCCAUACCCCUACGGGGGGCCGCAGACGAGAAUAUUCCACAAUGGGCGCAAGCCUGAUGGAGUGAUGCCGCGUGAUGGAUGAAGUGCUUCGGUACGUAAACAUCUUUUAUGAGGGACGAAAUUUUGACGGUACCUCAUGAAUAAGGGGCUCCUAACUCUGUG